Molecule: ribosomal RNA, 403 nt
Filed under: uncultured bacterium
Lineage: Bacteria
Description: bacterial SSU rRNA
Rfam family: Bacterial small subunit ribosomal RNA
Source: RNAcentral
GGGGGAUAUUGCACAAUGGAGGAAACUCUGAUGCAGCAACGCCGCGUGAGGGAAGAAGGUCUUCGGAUUGUAAACCUUUGUCCUUGGUGACGAAACAAAUGACGGUAGCCAAGGAGGAAGCUCCGGCUAACUACGUGCCAGCAGCCGCGGUAAUACGUAGGGAGCAAGCGUUGUCCGGAUUUACUAGGUGUAAAGGGUGCGUAGGCGGCUCUGCAAGUCAGGCGUGAAGACUAUGGGCUUAACCCAUAGACUGCGUUUGAAACUGUGGGGCUUGAGUGAAGUAGAGGUAGGCGGAAUUCCCGGUGUAGCGGUGAAAUGCGUAGAUAUAUGGAGGAACACCAGUGGCGAAGGCGGCUCUCUGGUCUGUAACUGACGCUGAGGCUCGAAAGCGUGGGGAGCGAAC